GGAACUGCCUACAUGAAAUAUCGAGGCGUAAUGGAGCUCUGACACCUCUACUGCAGGAAGUCCAUGUGUCAAUACCUGCUCCAUGGUCCAUCCUCCCUCCAUUCCUGCUCACUUUCACACCACUGCCUCAGGCUGAUGCUGGGGGCUGAGCAGUGCCUGGACCAAAGUCACUGUGCUCCUUUUCAAAGUGGUGCUUGUGGACAGAGAAGCCUUGAAAAGGAUGAGCCCAGAGCAGCAGGUUCCCUGCAGAAAUCAGAGGGAAAGGCUAGAGAAAAGGAUUACUCUGCUUGAGGGAGGCUGGACCAGAUGACGCACUGUGGUCCCUCCCAACCUUAUCCAUGAUGUGAUUCUGUGAUUCCCAAGUGAGAGAUGUGGGUGAGAGCCUCAGGUGAGCAGUGGGAAGGGUGGCCAGAGUUCCCUGCAGAUUUUCCAGAGCUGUAAGUGGGCUCUAUGCAAACCCACGGGUAACAUGCAGGACAGCCUCAAAAUGCCUCUUUUCUUGGAGCUGCCUGUCCAGAACUCCAGCACAAUAUUUUCACAAUUGUCAGUGCUGCAUGUGAAAAAAGACUUUGUCAAAGCAGAGAGGAGAGAGGGCUUCUCUGUGCCAGG
This is a non-coding RNA of Zonotrichia albicollis (white-throated sparrow), 609 nucleotides long. The record is from RefSeq and is a predicted model, not a curated record. Lineage: Eukaryota; Metazoa; Chordata; Aves; Passeriformes; Passerellidae.